CCAACACUACAUUUCAUGCCAUGAAAUACUCUUAUUGCUAUUCCUCAGCUGCUGGGGAGUAUCUUUCCUCCAAGCCCCUCCUGGGCUCAGUGCUAUGAAUACCACCUCCAGCACAGCAAGCUGAGGCAGGCAGCAGCCACAGAUGGCAUUUGUCUUGGAAAAUGUUUAGUUAUGUGAACAUCAGCUUUCGCAAUCUGAUUCACAGCCUGAAUAAAAGUUUUCAGGCUGGUAUGCACCACAUUGAACUUAAAAUUGUAGCCUUUUAUUUAAUCUGAAGAGAGUCAAGUUACAAGGAACAUAACAAAUCUUUAGAAUACUGCAUACACUUGAAUUUCCCCCCCUUUCUCCCCAUUCCAUGUUCCUUUCCAGCAGAUAUGAGAUAGAGAGGUAAUGAAGGAAAGCAAAUAUUUAUGUAUUGGUUGUUCCUCCAGGGCCACAUGAAAUUGAUUGCUCCAAUCAGCAGAAGAAGGAAAACACUCUCUGCUAUCAAUGGCUGAGUUAAUCAGGAGUCUCAAAGGAAAAGUUUAUUAUAGAAGAGCAAAAACAUUCAACUCCCAUCCCUUCCUCCAAGGAAGCUUCAGCAAUGAACCAAAGUUCUCCAGCUUUGCUUGUGCUUGUGUCUGUGACAUCCAAGACCCUCCAUGGCCUCACAAGGAAAUUAACAUAUCUAGAGAACAGUUUUUGUGGUCUCACAGCACCUCACUUAACUCAGUUGAUACCCUAAAAUUAAGAAGAAUUAGUUGAGACCACAGUUUAUUGUGCCUAAGGCUUGGGUGAAGAACCAAGGAGGGAUUGAAUGGCUGGAGAUGCUCACCUACAGCAAUCCCUCCAGCACUGGUGCUGCAGAGACAAUCCAGGAAGGUCAGGACGAGGCAAGAAGCACUUUUUACCCCACUGUACCACAGCUGAAACAUCUUGCAGAGCUUCAGUGACCACCAGCACCCUGUGGCAGCCUCUGAGAGCAAGUUUCUCACUUGGGCUUCUGCUGCUGCUAAAAACGUAAGUUAUUUAUGAGGAGAAGGUAAUGUACCCACAUUUCAAACUGUAACGCAAGCCAGAAAACUCUCACAGUCUCAUGUAACUGUGCCAGAAGCUAAAGAAGGCUCAUACAUAGGAGAAAUCACACUUCUUUGUGCCUGAGAAGGACCAGAAGUAGUUGGUGGCUGUAUCUGAAAAUAUUUGCAUUUACUGUCUUUAAGAUAAAACACUAAAUAUCUUAUCAUUUGGUGUUGGGGGUUUUUUUGUUUUGUUUUGUUUUGUUCUGUUUUGUUUUGGGUUUUUUUUGGUGGUUUUUGUUGGUUUUUUUUGUGGGGUUUUUUGGGUUUUUAGUUGUUGUUUUUGUUGGUUGAUCAGAGAUUUGUUUUGUUUUGCUUUGGUUUUUUUCCCCGAGGAUUUUUUUACAGCCCUAGCAGACUGGAGACAUGAGAAAGACAAAACCUGUAGAAAAUUGUGCUGUAUUAUGAGAUGAAAAAUGAUGUCUGUUAAGUCCUGAAAUCAGUCAACACCACUCUGCAGCCAUCACAGUAGGUGUCCCUUGCUAACAGCUCUAAGUAGGAGACAGAGAGUUCACUGGUCCUGUGUAAAUGUACUGUGCUUCACCCAGGCAUCAAGUGGAGAAUAGUGCCAGCAGGACAGAACUAACCAAGCUGCAUUCAACAAGGUGAGCACAUCCUCACUAAGGUGACGUCUUACUGGAGCAACAACGUAAAGAACAAGAUGUGUUCCUGAGGAUGCAUAUUUGUGCUUGCUGCCAUCAGAGAUGGUUUUCCAGCCUCUGGAACUGAGAGAGCAGCCAGAAUGAGGGACAAGACUGACAGCCAACUUUUUCUUUUUCUGUUGGGACAACAGAAGCAGAACCUUCUGCCACAAGGCAUUUCCCGUCUGAUUUGAAGGUGAAAGAUUUGCCUAGGACUCAGGUCAUGAUGAUUGCAUUUCUCAGUCACUAUGAAGAUGGAAAUGUCUGUCUGCAGACUUCAGCAAUGACCACCGCAGCUGGAAGUUUAGGGUUCAAACUCCCAGCUGCAGUCUGAAGGAGACACACGAUGUCGUUCCCGGGCAAUGCAAUUCUCGAAGGCAGUCCCUAGAUGUCACUGAACACCACGGCUGGUUUAAAUAUAAACCAAGACAUGUUACAGCAGGCAAGUCCUCAUGCUAAAAACAUGGUGUAUUUCUGCUAGCUAGAAAAUUAUGACUUUCAAAAAUAUCUUUAUAUAUUCAGUCCUUCAAUUUCAGUGGUGAAAUUAUUCCAUAGUCAAAAUUAGGAAACUCGGAGAAUAAUGAGCUGCUCAGGCACCAGUGCUAGGUUUGCUCCUGAGCUCCAUCAGACCUGCCAGGUGGUUGGUGUCCCCUUUGGAGGUGACUUAGGGCCCAUACAGCAGCUUCUCCACUAACAGGGAAAACUCCUGUUUCUUUAGUCCUUCUGAAAAUUCCUCUUUUUCUCUUUCCUGUACGAAAUUACUUUUCCAUGGAAACUUGCCUACCUCACGCCCUUCUUUACUUUCUCAAAGGCACUCAGUCCUGUAAGAGUCCAUAGGGCUGGGCACAAGGUGCAGCAGCAGCCAGGACCACAAGCCCAGCAGCUGUGCUCAGUUUUAAAUCCUGUCUGAGUUUUGUCUAAGUUUCUUGGGGUGAUGACUGUGGGAGCUGGUCUGUUCUUACCUUCUGAAACCAGUCCAGGUGAGAUCAACACAACCUCUCCAGUGCCAUGGCUGCCUGAUGAUAUCCCCACUAUAAUAGAGCAUUCCCUGUGAAGGCUGGCUGGGAGAGCUGGGGUUGUUUGCCUGGAGAAGGGGAGGCUCCAGGGAGAUCUUCGAGCACCUACCAGUACCUAAAGAGGGCCUACAAGAAAGCAGAGCACUGCUCCUCACAGCAAGAUCUUCAGCUAAGAAACUGCCUUUGCCAAACAGAAGGCCUGUGGGGAAGAUUUUCAAAGGUAGAUGUGACAGGUCAUAUUUUUGAUCAUCUGCCUUUAUAGGGCAAUACCAUAAACUGUGCUAUAUAAAAACUGGUAUCAUCUACACACUGGUGUCUAGUAUUUCCUUGGACUCCCUAAACAGCCCUAAAAGGAGUGAUCUGUUAUUGGCAUGGACUGUGUUAGUCAACUUGCUUUUUUUUUUAUAAAAAUGAAAAAUACUUGCAAACUUUGAAACCCUCCCAAAUGGAAAAAAGGUUCAUUAUAAAAACAAAAGUGAGAACAAACUACGUUUAAAGUAAGAAAGAAAAGCAACAACAACAAAAAGAUCUCAUAGGGUUUUUACAGAAGGGAGGCUGUAAAGCAGAAACAUGCUCCACCAGUAAAUCCAGGUAGGUGUUGCUGUUGUUGCUACACCAGCACUGCCUUCUCUGCCAGAAAAACACCUGUGUCUCAAGAUUUAUUUUCAAGGUUAGGAAAUCUGGGAACUUUCUGCAGAAUACAUUAAAUCAUACCUGAACUGUUACUGUCUUGACUACUUCAGUGAUCUCUUCAGUCUACUGGAAUGGCACAAGUUUGGCUCCCUUUUACCUUGUCUUCCUUAUCCCUCACUGAUAAUUCAGCUAUUGCUUAUUUAUUUAUUUACUAUUGCUUGUGCUUAUUUAGCACUCCUGGAGCAAAAUGCUUAGUUCUUCUCUGGCAAGUUUGAGUCUAGGUAGACAAAAUUACAGCAAUUUAAUAUAGUUCUUGAAUUAUUUGUGUAUCAAAUAAAACAACAUAGUAGAUGUCUGGGAAGAAGCAGGCAUGAGGUGACCCAUAGGAAAUCAAAGCUACUCACUUCCAUACAUGUGGAUUUACUGUAAACAUCAACAGUGCAAGAGUAUACACAAAGCAAGACUCUGGUCUGCAGCUCUUGUGCCAUCAUUACCUUUGGACGUUGUAAUUAAUAAUAGUAAUGAUUUUUUAUGCUGUAAUAGAACUAAGAACUCAACCACAAAAGUGGACCCAGCUGCUCUAUAAACAGAGGACAAAAUGCCAGUUUCACCCACUAACCUUUGAAGCUUUCAAGGUGUCAGCCCCACAGCUGCAUGUUCUGCUGCUGCUAACACUGGCAGGUCACCCACUUGUCGCUGGGGCAACACUCAGGAGGUGUCUAAUGAGCAACAGUGAAAGUUUGAGGGUCUUUCUAGAGAAUCCUGGUAAGGUGGGCUCUGCUGGCAUUACAGGAGAAAGAAAGUGUUUAAAAUACAAAGAGCAGAUAAUUAAGAAUAGUUGAGUGAGGAAGGCUCUGGAAACAUGUCACUAAUGCAUUAGAGAUGACAACGUUGCAGUUACUGAGAGAUAGUGGGAACCUGAAUGAAAAACUUGUCUGUCUGGAUGGACAGAAAAGAUCUACCUAAACAGAUGCAAACAGACUCACAAGAAUUUAGGGACAAGCUCAGUAGGAAUAUAUGGAUCCCAAGUAGUCAAAGAAAACCGAUGUUAUGGGCCUGAGGGAUAGGGGAAGCUGAGUUCCCAAUCACUAAGGGAGAAGAUGGUGGAAUGCACAUGCAGGGGAGUGUGUGGGUUGGGCUGUACUGAUUUCAACAUCUAUAUAUUCCCAGGAGACAUGAAAAGACCUGAGUUCUGAGUUUGGGCAGGCAUGAAAGGCUCCGGAGCAGAGAAGUGAAAUUCUCAAGUCUUAAACACACUUACAUGCAUCCAACAAAAAACACACACAUUUAUGUAAUGAGGGAGAUUACUGGAAAUUGUUUGCAUGUACACAGUUUAAAAAUGGGAUUAUGUGAGAAGCCUGAGAUGCACUCGCCAACUGGUGAUUGUUGCCAGCUCCUGGAGAGUGGUUUGAGAAGAUCACCAGGUAUUUGCAGUUGUCACUCUGGCAACAGGUAGUCACAGACACCUGAACAGAGCUGGAGGGUUUCUUCUCCUCCCCAGAACUCCUCAGUCUUCUACUUACUAAAAAACCCUGUGUUUAUUUUGAAGCACUGAACAAGUUCACACCUUGGUCUUUCAUUCUGUCUUAUAUUGUUAUCUCCUGCAUAUAAUUCUGGACUAAAUGAUUCAAGUAUUUUGUCCCAAAAGUUUUCCUGGUCGUACAUUAAAAAAAUUGUAUUUCAUAUUUUAAAUAAGCAGUACAAUGAAAAAAUAGAGACCCAUGCAGCAGAGCUGUCACAUUAAAAAACAUACAUAAUAUACUGAUUAAAAAUGUAUGCAGUCAGUUAUUGUAUAGUUAUUUAAUGAAAGGAAAAAAAAUAAAUCUACAAAAUCAAGGGCUAUUUUAAUAGGGUGUUUUUAGAACAGAAAACCUUGUCUCACUUAGGCAACUUUAUAAGAAUAAUCACAUGAGCACAGCUAUGAAGUCAGCUACUUUUCAUUAACUUGAACACCAAUAUAAAAUUAUUAUAGUCUAUGCAAUGUAAGUGGAAAUGAUAAGGUAAAUGAGCACAAAAUGGGGGAAAUUAUAGCUCUUACCUAUACAGCAAACAGACUGGUUUUCUGGCUGUUUGCUUACAGAAAGCCCCGUGUCAUUUCUGCCUCUGACUUUCAGAGUUCCUGUGGCAUUCAUUUCCCAUCAUGCUAACAAAAGCUGCAAUGGCAGAGGGUGCUUGCAGUGGUUGCCCAUACAAGCCACCGUACUGCUCAUGUUGCCUUAUUUUAGCACAAACAUUGUUUCCUACCUUACCUCAAAGUAACCACUUCACUUAAGCAUGCUCAGAGUGAGGUGAAAUACCACAUACCCUGUGCUGUGGUGUGUGUGAAAACUCACCAAGGAUGAGGAGGUACUGCUGGACAGGAGUAGUAUUUCAGGGAGGAAUUCUGACAUUUCAGCUGAAUAAAGAAAGAAGCACAACUCUGUGUUGUUACACUUUAUGCCUCUCUUCUACCCUGUGUUAACAGAUUCAAUGAGCAUUUUUCAAAAAGUAAUUUCCAAAUUUCUGUGGCUUUGGGAAUAAUGCUACCUGUGAACUAAGCAUCUAACCCUGGGGACCUGUACCAUCUGAAAAGUGUUUGUGUAAAUCAUGAAGACUAAUUUCAGGUCCUCAACUGAAGCAGAAAAAAAACAGCUCUACAAAUGGGGCAAUGUGCAGCAGUCGAGAAAAAGCAGAACAGGGUCUUCAGCAGGUGACAGGAUGAAACGCUGGUGUCUUGCUACUGCAGGAGAAGCAAACUCCUGUUUGAACAAAAGAUUCACCUCCAAAGAAUCCAUUGUACAUUAAGGCCCCAUGUAGAAUUUUGACUGUUGCACUUGGAGAUAUGCCUUCCACAGAGACGGUUGAGAGAAAAGCAAUGAGAAUGAUGAAAAUUAAGGAAACUUCUGCCCUGUGAAAAGAAAAAUAGACUACUUGAGAUAAGACAAUGCAAAAAAUUAUUGUAAAGAAGUGUCAUCAUUAGGUCAAAGGAGGUGAUUCUUUCCCUCUACUCCGCUCUUGUGAGACCCCACCUGGAGCACUGCAUCCAGCUCUGGGGUCCCCAACACAGAAGAUGAUAGAAUAAUGUGGACCUGUUAGAAAAGGACCGGAGGAGAUUCUCAAGGUCGAUCACAGGGCUGGGGCACCUCUCCUGUACAGACAGGCUGAGACACUUGGGGUUGUUCAGCAUGGAAAGGAGAAGACUCUGGGAAGACCUUAGAGCACCCUCCAGCAUCAAAGGGUACUGGAGAGAGGGCACGAGAGAGCUGGAGAGGGACUUUUCACAAGGGCAUGUAAUGAAUGGCUUCAAAGUGAAUGAAGGCAGGUUUAGACUAGAUAUGGGAGAGAAUUUUUUUCUGUGAGGGUGGUGAGGCACUUGAAUAAGUUGCCCAGAGUAAUUAUGGAUGCCCCAUCCCUAGAUGUGCACCAGGCCAGGCUGGAUGGAGCUUUGAGCAAGCUGGUCUGCUGGAAGGUGUCCCUGACCAUGGCAGAGGGGUUAGAGCUGGAUGGACUUUAGGGCCUUCCAACACAAACCGUUAUAUGAGUUUACGACUCUUUAAUGUGCUGAAGAGGUAGCAAGAAAAAAAAUACAUUUACCAUUAGGAAUUUCUUUUCUUAAUCAUCACAGUAGUGAAGGACUGAUUGUGUGGGGGUUUGUGAAGCCUGCAUGAUUAGAAGUGGCUUGACAGAAAUAUCCAUGGGGAGAGGUGGAUAGACUGGACGACCUCCUCCAGUCCCUUGCAAGUCUAGUAAUUAUGAUUCUGCAAUUUAAUGAUGUCAAAUAAAUUUAAAUUUAAAAUGUUUUCACAUUUCAUUACAAAUCUCCUAAUAACUUGACACCACCUCUAUAAAAAGAGAAAAAUAUUUUAGUCCAAAGGAAAUUGAUCUUACCUACAGUUUGCUUCUAUCUAUAGAUAGAAGCUGCUAUUCUUUUUAAUUUGACAUCCAUAUUAAUAAGGCCUUACUAAAUCCUCACUUUAAAACACUGUGCAAAAACUAGAGUGCCAUAUAUAGUCCAUAACUUUAAAAAAAUUAUCAAAACCCAACCAAGCCUCCACACCUUAUCCUUUACAACUGUUACCUUUCCUCUUUUUUACCACCUGGGCCUAGCAGUGCUGCAGCUUCACAGCACAUGAGACCCUGCAUCUAAGGCUGGACUGCAAAUCCUCAAACCUAAAGUGCCUUUUUAUAGGCAAAGUCAGCCAUGUCACUGUGAGACUGCAGAUGAUCUGGGAUCAAAGACAGAGCAAUGUAGUGCCUUUACACCUGAUUGCUACACUGACAGAUCAGAUUUGUCUUUCAGUCCCAAAUUCAUCAUGCAAAGGGCAACAUCAUAAUAAAAUUUUCAUUAAGCAGCUUUAUUUUUCCCAUGUAACAAACUUCAAAGAAAAAGAGAAUUUGGGGGGAAAAUGUAUGCUAUAAGAAAAGAAAUACAGGUCCAAAUGAAAGGAUACUAUGGAGAACUGGGGCAUUCCUUUGCAGAAGUAUUAAAUGCCUGCAGCUGAAAACCAUUGCACAGCCUUCAAAAUCAGGCCACUGUUAUUUAAGCAAGAAUGAGCCAUUUUCCACAUAUCAUUCAUCAGCAUGAAUCUGUUAGAAACUUACCAAAGAGUAACUAGGUGCAGAGUUUGGCCUCAAAUAUUUCUUUUGCAGUAUUUUUUCCUGCGUUUUGUUGAGAGGCUACUUCUCCCUUUGUGAUAUUAAUGUUGACAAGAAUCUGUGAGUCCCUAAUUCCUAAUGAGAUUGAAGAUGGCACAGAUUAAUUCGAAAGGAAUUGCCUUGGGGCAUUGCCAAGAAUGAUUGAAUUUUUCUUUUUGGCUUUGGGGAGAUGCUAACACCUUUUAGUUUCCCAUUAGUGCAUUUCAUGGGGUGAGGCAUCCUAAGAAUUGCUCAGUUCCCAUCAAGAUCUCCAGAGGAAAACAGCUCAAGUCUUUAUGACCUUUUGGGUAGAACAUUCACACCAAUCCCCUGAAUUCAUGUGAUGGAAGACUGAUUGCAGCAAAUAAUUAGAUGACAAAGAAUUUACAACUUGCUCAGAACCUGCAACCCUUUUUAUUCCACACUAUGCUUCAGCUAGAAUGGAUAUAUGACAUAUAUUGUGCCCUGCAGAUUUUAUUUUUUUACUUUUUCUUUUUAACUUGUGCCAGGCAGACAAUUCCCACUGACUUACCCCUGAUCAGUUACAUGUAAAAUAAAUGCCAGCUUAAAAACUUGCCUUUUUUUUUUUUAAGGGGUGUACUUUUUCGCUUUGCAAGCAAAUGGAAUGGUUCUUUCUUCCCCAUAAUUACAAAUAUCUUUGUUCCAUACCAUUUCAUGCCUGUCAAACAGCAGGGAGUCUGCCUUGCAAACAAUAAAAGGCAAGAAGAAAACCAAACUAAGACAAAAAACAAGGUUAGAAGAAAAUAAAAUAUAGGCAAUGUUUUUCCAGAGCAUCCUCAAAACAUGAGAAUUAGCUAAUGAAUAUAGGGCCAUACAAUAACCUAAAUCCUGUCUUUCUCAUCAGAAUUGGCUUCAAGGAACAAAUGAUCUUCCAUUCAGCUGUUUCAUAUUUCUACAGUUUCAAAUAAGACAGAUAUUUAAAUAUGGAAAUAAAGGGUUUUAUACAUUUACACACUAGAAUUUUAUUGCCUGCAUGUAUAGGAAAUUCAGAGAGUACACAUUUAAGGUUUAUAACUAUUGAAAUGACACCAAAAGUGGCAUUUAGACUUCUAAUCUCCCUCUGCUAAAAAUAUAUGUGUGAUACAAAAUCACAACUAAAUUUCAAGUGUAACAAAGGUGGAAAACCCUGUGGCUUUGCAGCCUGAUUUCAAUCCAUGAUUUCAUCUUGCAAGGCAUGUGAGUACAUGAUUUUUUUUUCAUGUUAUUAUUGGAAAAACACUUGUGGUUACUGCUUGUUUUAAAAAUGUUUUUGGUAAGCCUAGUUAGCAAGAACUAGUUUCCCCGCCCUGAAUAUAUACUAUUCAAGACAUGUCUGGUUUUUGUAUUCAGUAGUCCCAACACCAAAAAUCUAACAGGGAGCUUUCCUGUCACCCAAAAAGUAUCUGUAAAAUAUCUGGUCAGUAGAUACAAGAGAAGAGUUAGAAACCUAGACCCAAGAGAGGAGUUAGAGACACAUCCUGUUGCAGAACUUCUUGAGAUAUUUUUCAUCCUGCACCAGACACUGCAAAAGCUUUUCACAGUGAAUUCAUCAUGUCUUGUUUACAUUUAAAGCUGGUACUUUGGAGGCAAAUUUUCUUUAACACAUAUCAAAUAAGAAACAUAUGCUGCAUACUGUAUACCCUGAGCACAGUAAUUACAUUUUAUGUCAUUUAAUGUUCCUGCUGAGCUCUACUCCUCUACUGUAAUAAUGCAGUACUCCAAGAAUUUUGACCAAGGAUGAACUGUGCUCAUUCACCUGAUUUUAUAUAUUGCAGGCAGUAGGUUAUGUACUAGUAGGUUAUGUACAGUUCUAGUACUGUGGAGGGAUCUCUGAUAAUCCAGACAAGAUCUAGUGGUAGUGGAUUACUUUUGGCCUAACUGUACUUAGAAAAUCUGAUGUUCAGUCAGUAGCUUUUUCC
Long non-coding RNA from Haemorhous mexicanus (house finch), 9878 nucleotides. RefSeq lists it as uncharacterized. The record is from RefSeq and is a predicted model, not a curated record. Lineage: Eukaryota; Metazoa; Chordata; Aves; Passeriformes; Fringillidae. The transcript is spliced from 5 exons.